Molecule: transfer RNA, 69 nt
Filed under: Enoplolambrus validus
Lineage: Eukaryota; Metazoa; Arthropoda; Malacostraca; Decapoda; Parthenopidae
Description: tRNA-Met
Rfam family: tRNA
About the family: Transfer RNA (tRNA) molecules are approximately 80 nucleotides in length. Their secondary structure includes four short double-helical elements and three loops (D, anti-codon, and T loops). Further hydrogen bonds mediate the characteristic L-shaped molecular structure. tRNAs have two regions of fundamental functional importance: the anti-codon, which is responsible for specific mRNA codon recognition, and the 3' end, to which the tRNAs corresponding amino acid is attached (by aminoacyl-tRNA synthetases). tRNAs cope with the degeneracy of the genetic code in two manners: having more than one tRNA (with a specific anti-codon) for a particular amino acid; and 'wobble' base-pairing, i.e. permitting non-standard base-pairing at the 3rd anti-codon position.
Source: RNAcentral
UAAAAGAUAAGCUAAUUUAAGCUAAUGGGCUCAUACCCCGUAAAUGACAGUUCAAUCUAUCUCUUUUUA